CCGCUAUAUGCAGUCGAGCGACUGAUGAGAAGCGUGCUUCUAUGACGUUAGCGGCGGACGGGUGAGGAUCACGUGGGCGACCUGCCUGGGGGACUGGGAUAACUUCGGGAAACCGAAGCUAAUACCGGAUAGGAUCUUCUCCUUCAGGGGAGAUGAUUGCUAGAUGGUUUCGGCUAUCCCUUACCGAUGGGCCCGCGGGGCGUUAUCUAGGUGGUGAGGUAACGGCUCACCAAGGGAACCAUGCAUAACCAACCUGAGAGGGUGAUCGGACACACUGGGACUGAGACACGGCCCAGACUCCUACGGGAGGCAGCAAUAGGGAAUCUUCCCCAGUGGACGAAAGUCUGACGGAGCAACGCCGCGUGAGUGAUGAAGGCUUUCGGGUCGUAAAACUCUGUUGUUAGGGAAGAACAAGUACGAAAGUAGCUGCUCGUACCUUGACGGUACCUAACCAGAAAGCCACGGCUAACUACGUGCCAUCCGCCGCGGGAAUACGUAAGUGGCAAGCGUUGUCCGGAAUUAUUGGGCGUAAAGCGCGCGCAGGCGGUUUCUUAAGUCUGAUGUGAAAGCCCACGGCUCAACCGUGGACGGUCAUUGGAAACUGGGGAACUUGAGUGCAGAAUACAAAAGCGGAAUUCCACGUGUAGCGGUGAAAUGCGUAGAGAUGUGGAGGAACACCAGUGGCGAAGGCGGCUUUUUGGUCUGUAACUGACGCUGAGGCGCGAAGCGUGGAGAGCAAACAGGAUUAGAUACCCUGGUAGUCCACGCCGAAACGAUGAGUGCUCAGUGUUAGAGGGUUUCCGCCCUUUAGUGCUGCAGCUAACGCAUUAAGCACUCCGCCUGGGGAAUACGGACGCAAGACUGAAACUCAAAGGCACUUGACAGGGGUCCACACAAGCGGUGGAGCAUGUGGCUUAAUUCGAGCAACGCUGAGACUCUUAUCAGGUCUUGUCUCCUCUGAGAACUCUAGACAUAGAGCAUUCCCCUCGGGGGACGAAUGACAGGUGCUGCAUGGUGUCCGUCACUGUGCUAGAGAUGUAGGAAUCAUUCACCGACUCCAGCGACACCCUGGCUCUUAGUGCCAGCAUUGUUGAGGACACACGGUCUGACGGGUACUCGAUUGCGCGUGUACGACAGGACGUACGUGUAGCAUGACUUGCACCUUAUCGACGUC
This 1174-nucleotide ribosomal RNA is filed under the name Bacillus sp. (in: firmicutes). RNAcentral's name for it is "bacterial SSU rRNA". It matches the Rfam family "Bacterial small subunit ribosomal RNA", at positions 48 to 1199 of the family's 1533-position model. Lineage: Bacteria; Bacillati; Bacillota; Bacilli; Caryophanales; Bacillaceae. The record is from RNAcentral.